RNAcentral lists this ribosomal RNA (495 nucleotides) under uncultured bacterium. RNAcentral's name for it is "bacterial SSU rRNA". It matches the Rfam family "Bacterial small subunit ribosomal RNA", at positions 15 to 518 of the family's 1533-position model. The record is from RNAcentral.
GAUCCUGGCUCAGGAUAAACGCUGGCGGCGCACAUAAGACAUGCAAGUCGAACGAACUUAACCAUUAGUUUACUAUUGGAGCGGUUAGUGGCGGACUGGUGAGUAACGCGUGAGCAACCUGCCUAUCAGAGGGGAACAACAGUUAGAAAUGACUGCUAAUACCGCAUAUACCUAAGUAUCGCAUGGUACAAUAGGGAAAGGAGCAAUCCGCUGAUAGAUGGGCUCGCGUCUGAUUAGAUAGUUGGUGGGGUAACGGCCUACCAAGUCGACGAUCAGUAGCCGGACUGAGAGGUUGAACGGCCACAUUGGGACUGAGAUACGGCCCAGACUCCUACGGGAGGCAGCAGUCGGGAAUAUUGCGCAAUGGAGGAAACUCCUGACGCAGUGACGCCGCGUGCAGGAAGAAGGUUUUCGGAUUGUAAACUGCUUUAGACAGGGAAGAAAAAGGACAGUACCUGUAGAAUAAGCUCCGGCUAACUACGUGCCAGCCGCGGC